This is an RNA transcript of Haliotis rufescens (red abalone), 593 nucleotides long. RefSeq lists it as uncharacterized. The record is from RefSeq and is a predicted model, not a curated record. NCBI's taxonomy places the organism in Eukaryota, Metazoa, Mollusca, Gastropoda, Lepetellida, Haliotidae. The transcript has 4 exons.
AUACUUCUAAUGUGACGCCGAUAAGACAGCGUAGCUACACAUAACCCCAACUACAGUUUACUGUUGUACUGACCACAGCAUCAACAGAUACACAACGUAUUUCCUGUCUUUGUGGUACAGUUUGACAAAGUAGUCUUCCCCAGGUACUGUAGGCAAGGGUGUCACACAUUCGGAUUCACUCGACUAGUUUCGUCACCGACAUAAUACCUCGGGAAGCAAAGAUUGUCGUCUGCAAGUUCACAGCUCUGAACCCUGUCUCCCAAAUUCUACGCCAUGGAUGCCUUGAAUAUCUCCGAGAAGGGCCCCAGACCUGCGGAGGCUUUACCGUCGGCGAUGUCCAGUUUGAGACGACGUCGUCUGCUUCGUCUGGCGUCGGUGGAGGAGAUGACGAACCUGAGAACGCUGCAAGUAAAAACUGACGAUUUGAUAACCAACGAAGAUUCAACCUUUGCCCAUCCACGCUGGGGAAGAGGACGUCGAAUUCGGUUUUUAUCCACUGGAGAAAUGGCUGGACACGACAAGCGACCCAAUCAGCUGUUUGUGCCACGGAUUUCAGUGACACCUGUGGGACUACGAAAAAGCUUCAGGUGAGA